This 460-nucleotide ribosomal RNA is filed under the name uncultured bacterium. RNAcentral's name for it is "partial 16S ribosomal RNA". It matches the Rfam family "Bacterial small subunit ribosomal RNA", at positions 338 to 795 of the family's 1533-position model. The record is from RNAcentral.
CCUACGGGUGGCAGCAGUGAGGAAUAUUGGUCAAUGGACGAGAGUCUGAACCAGCCAAGUAGCGUGAAGGAUGACUGCCCUAUGGGUUGUAAACUUCUUUUAUAUGGGAAUAAAAUGUUCCACGUGUGGGAUUUUGUAUGUACCAUAUGAAUAAGGAUCGGCUAACUCCGUGCCAGCAGCCGCGGUAAUACGGAGGAUCCGUUCGUUAUCCGGAUUUAUUGGGUUUAAAGGGAGCGUAGGUGGAUUGUUAAGUCAGUUGUGAAAGUUUGCGGCUCAACCGUAAAAUUGCAGUUGAAACUGGCAGUCUUGAGGACAGUAGAGGUGGGCGGAAGUCGUGGUGUAGCGGUGAAAUGCUUAGAUAUCACGAAGAACUCCGAUUGCGAAGGCAGUUCACUGGACUGCAACUGACACUGAGGCUCGAAAGUGUGGGUAUCAAACAGGAUUAGAUACCCGUGUAGUC